Molecule: ribosomal RNA, 253 nt
Filed under: uncultured bacterium
Lineage: Bacteria
Description: partial 16S ribosomal RNA
Rfam family: Bacterial small subunit ribosomal RNA
Source: RNAcentral
UACGUAGGGGGCAAGCGUUGUUCGGAUUUAUUGGGCGUAAAGGGCUCGUAGGCGGUUUGUCACGUCUGCUGUGAAAUCCCGAGGCUCAACCUCGGGCCUGCAGUGGGUACGGGCAGACUGGAGUGCGGUAGGGGAGAAUGGAAUUCCUGGUGUAGCGGUGGAAUGCGCAGAUAUCAGGAGGAACACCGAUGGCGAAGGCAGUUCUCUGGGCAGUAACUGACGCUGAGGAGCGAAAGCGUGGGGAGCGAACAGG